GCCUGGGUGGCUCAAUCAGUUAAGCAACUGACUUCAGCUCAGAUCAUGAUCUCACUGUUCAUGAGUUCAAGCCCCAUAUCAGGCU
This 85-nucleotide transfer RNA is filed under the name Felis catus (domestic cat). It matches the Rfam family "tRNA". From Rfam's summary of the family: Transfer RNA (tRNA) molecules are approximately 80 nucleotides in length. Their secondary structure includes four short double-helical elements and three loops (D, anti-codon, and T loops). The record is from Rfam by way of RNAcentral. Lineage: Eukaryota; Metazoa; Chordata; Mammalia; Carnivora; Felidae. RNAcentral also lists the same sequence under 1 other name.